This 285-nucleotide long non-coding RNA is filed under the name Olea europaea subsp. europaea. Lineage: Eukaryota; Viridiplantae; Streptophyta; Magnoliopsida; Lamiales; Oleaceae. The record is from RNAcentral.
AUAACCUGCAAGUAUCUGAGGACAAGAACAAUUCUUUUCACAUUUAUAUUCUUUAUAAUUAUUUUUAACUUUUAAUACUGCUCUCCAGUAAUUAUUUGAAGCAUCAGUUUGAAGGAUAAAGAAAUCUUCUUCUUGUGGAAUUAUAAGUUUGGGCAAUACCUUUAAUUCUUCUUUUACUUUCCUUAUAUUUUCACAAUCUUAUUUUUCUCAAGACCAUAUUAUAUUUUUUCUUAACUUUGGAAGAAAAUAAUUUUUUAGUUUCACAAUUUUCAAUGAAUCUUUCAG